UAGAGACAGUCUUAAAACAGAGCAAGAGGAGUUGUUGGUGAAGUGGGAAGUGUUGCCAGAUGUUGACUGUCCUGGGAAGCUCAAAGAAGGGGUUGGCUAAACAGGUUGUUUAUUUCAACCUUGAGGACAAGGUUGUUUUCAAAGGCAGGGGUAUUGAUAGAAGCAGUGAAAAUGCAUAAUAAUAAGUAACUUAACCAUGGUUUGUUGUGAGACUUAACCAUGGUUAGUUUAGGUUAUGUCUUGAGUAUGGCUAUAUAUAAGAUCGGAGAGAAUAAGAGAGGGUUAUCGGGUAUUUGGUGAGGUCUUUUAGGGGGAGUGGGAGGAGCUCCAUUAACAAAAUCCUCAGUUCUUUUGUAAUUCCAGUUCUAUAAUCUAUCAUAUCCAUUUCUAUAAGCAAAACGUAUCAGCAACUCAGAGGCGAAAACGGAUGAAGCAUCACAAAAAUUGACUACGAGCAGCAAGUCAUCAAGCUUCUUGUCUUUUCUCUGUCCAUUGCUUAAAGUUUUCUCUGCUGUUGUUUUCAGGGAGGUGAUCCUUGUCAACAUCGGAAUCAUGCUCUGGAGGAUCCAUGUAGACCAGGAAUCAAAGAUUCAGUUUGUGUCAAAAUGCUGGUGUCAAGGUCCGUGUGGUGAUGGGUGACAAUAUCCAAAAUGCCAGGGCUAUUGCUGUGGAGUGUGGAAUAUUAACUUCAGAUGCAUGUGCCUCUGAGCCUACUCUGAGAAGUUGCAGCAUUGGCUUCCCGUGUGCUUCCAAGGAGUCAAUUAGUUCAGCAUUUUCAAACUCUCUUCUUAGGGAUUGAAGUUCAACAGUUUUGAACUUUUCAUUACCUUGGUAGGAUUGCUCCAAGAGUUUCCAGGCUUGAUGUGCUUAAGUUUCAGAGAGGACUUCAUCAAAGACGAUGUCUGCUACACCAUGCUGAAUGAGUUGAAGGGCAGCAAUGUCUUUGGAUUUAAGCGAGCCUUACAAUUUCCUGUAUCUACUCCUUUUUCUGCUGUAGGAGUUGUAUGUAGGUUCGGCUUGGUACUCCAUCUUUGACAACAUCCCAGAUAUCUUUAUUCAUGAGUGUAGUUUUCAUUCUUGCAGACCAGAACUCGUAAUUCUGGCCAUCAAAGACUAUAACAAGUUGAGAUAAUUGCAGGCACAGGCUCCUAGCUAUCUAUCAAGUUGAGCUCUGAUACCAUGUUGAACUCUUGCUCAUAUCUUCAGGGCCACUUGAAGAGGUCAAUCAUAUCAAAGAGCAGCUUCAAAGGUGUGAUCAAGAAUCGUCUCUUCAUGGGUAUAUAAUAGCCAAAACUCUUGUCCUCCAGGUAAUCAUUAUUGUUGAGUUCCUCGGUUAAUUCGCUUCGACAACAAAGCUUGACUGGAAACAAUGGCUGAUAUGUGUUGCCAUCGGUGUUAUCAGGUAACUUUUAUUAUAUAUUGUCUACAUAUAUGCAUGUUGGAUACAUAUCGUAUAUAGAUAUGUGCAAUGCUUGUUGAAAAGAUAACUAACGUCUUACUUGAACCAACGUUAUACGGACAACGACAUUCAUAGAUAAUCAACUUUUCUUAGUGUGUCAAUAGGCAGGCAGCUUUGUUUCUCUGCAGUGUUGUCUCCACUGUCUAUGUGGUUUUGGUCUCUGAUAUAGGAGGUUCCUUGAGUAGUCCCCCGAACAGCUUUAAUGGCAACAGUGAGCUCCUCCUUUUCAAUCCCUCUGCUUUAAUCACAAUCUAUGAUGCCCCUUUGUUCUUUAAUGUAUUCUGCAGAUGCAUCACUAGUUUCUUCUAUACUGCGUUUGAAUUUGAUUCAAUGUUACUUUAUUAGCCACAUCAAAAUGGAAAGACUUAAAAAGAUCAUAGCUACAUCAAUACCAUUCUUAUUCCAGUU
Molecule: non-coding RNA, 1867 nt
Organism: Camelina sativa (false flax)
Lineage: Eukaryota; Viridiplantae; Streptophyta; Magnoliopsida; Brassicales; Brassicaceae
Source: RefSeq, a predicted model, not a curated record